AACACAUGCAAGUCGAGCGGGAAGUUCCCUUCGGGGAGCGAGUACAGCGGCGAACGGGUGAGUAACACGUAGGUAACCUACCCUGGAGUCCGGGAUAACCUGCCGAAAGGCGGGCUAAUACCGGAUAAGACCACGGGGGCUGCGGCCCCAGAGGUAAAAGGUGGCCUCUGCUUGCAAGCUACCACUCCGGGAUGGGCCUGCGCGCCAUUAGCUAGUUGGUGGGGUAACGGCCCACCAAGGCUGAGAUGGCUAGCUGGUCUGAGAGGAUGGCCAGCCACACUGGGACUGAGACACGGCCCAGACUCCUACGGGAGGCAGCAGUGGGGAAUAUUGCGCAAUGGGCGAAAGCCUGACGCAGCGACGCCGCGUGGGUGAUGAAGGCCUUCGGGUCGUAAAGCCCUGUCAAGAGGGACGAAACCUCGCCGACCCAACACGUCGGCGACCUGACGGUACCUCUGAAGGAAGCACCGGCUAACUCCGUGCCAGCAGCCGCGGUAA
Molecule: ribosomal RNA, 498 nt
Filed under: uncultured delta proteobacterium
Lineage: Bacteria; Deltaproteobacteria
Description: bacterial SSU rRNA
Rfam family: Bacterial small subunit ribosomal RNA
Source: RNAcentral